Ceratotherium simum simum (southern white rhinoceros) is the source of this 104-nucleotide non-coding RNA. The record is from RefSeq and is a predicted model, not a curated record. NCBI's taxonomy places the organism in Eukaryota, Metazoa, Chordata, Mammalia, Perissodactyla, Rhinocerotidae.
ACACAGAUAUGAAAAGUUUUUAUUAUCAGCAUAGCACAGUAUUUGUGGAUUCUAUCAAGCAAUCUCUACAAUAUUAAUAAAAUCAAUACAACAUAUCUUCCAAG